This 497-nucleotide ribosomal RNA is filed under the name uncultured Desulfotomaculum sp. RNAcentral describes it as "bacterial SSU rRNA". It matches the Rfam family "Bacterial small subunit ribosomal RNA", at positions 897 to 1382 of the family's 1533-position model. Lineage: Bacteria; Bacillati; Bacillota; Clostridia; Eubacteriales; Desulfotomaculaceae. The record is from RNAcentral.
AAACUCAAAGGAAUUGACGGGGGCCCGCACAAGCGGUGGAGCAUGUGGUUUAAUUCGACGCAACGCGAAGAACCUUACCAGGGCUUGACAUCUUCUGACCGCUUAAGGAAACUUAAGCUUUCCGGAAGGUUUACUUUCUGGACAGAAAGACAGGUGGUGCAUGGUUGUCGUCAGCUCGUGUCGUGAGAUGUUGGGUUAAGUCCCGCAACGAGCGCAACCCCUACGGUUAGUUGCUAACGGGUAAGGCCGAGCACUUUAGCCGAACUGCCGUUGACAAAACGGAGGAAGGCGGGAUGACGUCAAAUCAUCAUGCCCUUUAUGUCCUGGGCUACACACGUGCUACAAUGGCCUGUACAAAGGGCAGCAAAGGGGCGACCCGGAGCAAAUCCCAAAAAACAGGUCUCAGUUCGGAUUGCAGGCUGCAACUCGCCUGCAUGAAGGCGGAAUCGCUAGUAAUCGCAGGUCAGCAUACUGCGGUGAAUACGUUCCCGGGCCUU